RNAcentral lists this unclassified non-coding RNA (238 nucleotides) under fungal sp. RNAcentral describes it as "partial internal transcribed spacer region". The stretch from base 1 to 46 matches the Rfam family "Eukaryotic small subunit ribosomal RNA", at positions 1786 to 1831 of the family's 1831-position model. Lineage: Eukaryota; Fungi. The record is from RNAcentral.
AAGUCGUAACAAGGUUUCCGUAGGUGAACCUGCGGAAGGAUCAUUAACAAAUUCCAAAAUUCGUGUUGGUCUUGAUUGAGUUGGUUUUUCUCUCCUUCUCUUCUGUAUGGAAGAGAAAGAAGGAGGAUUAAUAAAAUCAAGACCGGCUCUAAAAUUACAUUUACAUUUAUUGACAACAAAUGGAGAACCAAAACAACAUUAGUUGAAACAACUUUUAACAAUGGAUCUCUUGGCUCUU